This 213-nucleotide ribosomal RNA is filed under the name uncultured bacterium. RNAcentral describes it as "partial 16S ribosomal RNA". It matches the Rfam family "Bacterial small subunit ribosomal RNA", at positions 524 to 735 of the family's 1533-position model. The record is from RNAcentral.
GACAGAGGGUGCAAACGUUGUUCGGAAUUACUGGGCGUAAAGCGAGUGUAGGCGGUUUCCUAAGUCAGGUGUGAAAGCCCCGGGCUCAACCCCGGGAAGUGCACUUGAAACUGGGAGGCUAGAGUAUCGGAGAGGUUGGUGGAAUUCUCGGUGUAGAGGUGGAAUGCGCAGAUAUCAGGAGGAACACCAGUGGCGAAGGCAGGGAUCUCUGGG